This 468-nucleotide ribosomal RNA is filed under the name uncultured bacterium. RNAcentral's name for it is "partial 16S ribosomal RNA". It matches the Rfam family "Bacterial small subunit ribosomal RNA", at positions 28 to 507 of the family's 1533-position model. The record is from RNAcentral.
GACGAACGCUGGCGGCGUGCUUAACACAUGCAAGUCGAACGGAAAGGCCCUGCUUUUGUGGGGUGCUCGAGUGGCGAACGGGUGAGUAACACGUGAGUAACCUGCACUUGACUUUGGGAUAACUCCAGGAAACUGGGGCUAAUACAGGAUAGGAGCUCCUGCUGCAUGGUGGGGGUUGGAAAGAUUCGGCGGUUGGGGAUGGACUCGCGGCUUAUCAGCUUGUUGGUGGGGUAGUGGCUUACCAAGGCUUUGACGGGUAGCCGGCCUGAGAGGGUGACCGGCCACAUUGGGACUGAGAUACGGCCCAGACUCCUACGGGAGGCAGCAGUGGGGAAUAUUGCACAAUGGGCGGAAGCCUGAUGCAGCAACGCCGCGUGCGGGAUGACGGCCUUCGGGUUGUAAACCGCUUUCGCCUGUGACGAAGCGUGAGUGACGGUAAUGGGUAAAGAAGCACCGGCUAACUACGUG